RNAcentral lists this ribosomal RNA (501 nucleotides) under uncultured bacterium. Its description in RNAcentral is "bacterial SSU rRNA". It matches the Rfam family "Bacterial small subunit ribosomal RNA", at positions 791 to 1286 of the family's 1533-position model. The record is from RNAcentral.
UAGUCCACGCCGUAAACGAUGUCUAUUAGCCGUUGGGCAGCUUGACUGUUUAGUGGCGCAGCUAACGCGAUAAAUAGACCGCCUGGGGAGUACGGCCGCAAGGUUAAAACUCAAAUGAAUUGACGGGGGCCCGCACAAGCGGUGGAGCAUGUGGUUUAAUUCGACGCAACGCGAAGAACCUUACCAGGUCUUGACAUCCUCGGAACUUUCUAGAGAUAGAUUGGUGCCUUCGGGAAUCGAGUGGCAGGUGCUGCAUGGCUGUCGUCAGCUCGUGUCGUGAGAUGUUGGGUUAAGUCCCGUAACGAGCGCAACCCUUGUCCUUAGUUACCAGCGAUUCGGUCGGGAACUCUAAGGAGACUGCCGGUGACAAACCGGGAGGAAGGUGGGGACGACGUCAAGUCAUCAUGGCCCUUACGACCUGGGGCUACACACGUGCUACAAUGGGGCAGUACAGGAGGGGCCGCGACCCAGCGAUGGGUGAGCCAAUCCCUUAAAACUGUU